Ictidomys tridecemlineatus (thirteen-lined ground squirrel) is the source of this 1131-nucleotide long non-coding RNA. RefSeq lists it as uncharacterized. The record is from RefSeq and is a predicted model, not a curated record. Lineage: Eukaryota; Metazoa; Chordata; Mammalia; Rodentia; Sciuridae.
AGUGUGCACCCAUUCGAAAGAGAUUGAAUCCUGACGACCGUCAAGGAAAGGGCCCCGGCUUCAGUGAAGGCCGCGGUGGGGGCCCGACCCGAGGUGGCGGCGAUUCGAGCUCUUCCUGCCCUCCCGAGUACACCUCUGCGCCUCUAACCCCAGUCUAAUUGUGAGAACAAACACUCCACCACCAAGACAGAUCUCACGUUGUCAAGAUCAAAACCCAGAAAGUCUGAGGAGCCUCACAGCCCAGAACCCUGAGGAGGCAGAGUACUGCUGCGGUUUAUGUCCCUGGGAUGAGCUGAAGUCAGAUCCCCAUCCUGAGAUAGCAGAAGGUGGAAACGUAAUCUGACUAUGACAUUUGGAGGGGGCCUUGGGCGGUGAUUAGGAUUUGAGGUCAUCAGGGUGGCUGUCCUAAUUGAAUCCAGGUGGCUGCCAGCGGCCAUCUGCGAGCUGUGCAGGAGCUAAAGCGAUGUGGACCAUUAGGCAGGAAAGCCUGCUGCAGCGACCCUGCUGGUUUAGAACGCCUGGUUCACGUGGCGUCCCGCCCAGCCCCACAAGUUCAGCACAGCACCAGAGAUCGGUGACCCAGCUGGAGCCACCAGCCUCUCAGAGAUGGGUGUGGCUUGGCAAAAUGCCAAUCCACCUGUUUGCUGCAAGACCCCUGCUGCACCCAGGAGCAACCGCAAACCAAGACUCUUCCCACUGAAGCCUUCUCCCUGGCUUUGAUGGACUCUCCUUCAAUAAAGAAUCGGGGCGUCUUCAGCUGUUCGGUUCCAGCUCCCGUCGGGACUGGAAGACCCAUCAGGUGCUCCCCUUUUCCUAUCUAAUUUCUGACUCUGUCUUUAUUUCUGAUUAUUUCAGACUUUUUAUUUCCCAAGCAGCUCACACCUCCUGAGCAGGAACCUACCCUGGCGGUGCUGGCCACCCCAAUAGUGGUUUUAUUUUUAUUUAUUUUUUGUUGCUGGGGAUCGAACCCAGGGCCUUGUGCAUGUGAGGCAAGCCCAUAGUGCUCCCUGUCUCUUGCCAUGUGACACACUAUUUUGGGAUUCUGCAGGCAGAAAGGCCACCACCAAAUGUGACCCCUCAACCUUGUUCCUCCAGAAUCAGAAGUCAAAAUAAACUUGUUUUCUUUAUAAA